GGAGAGGUGGCAGAGCUGGUCGAAUGCGCCGGUUUGCUAAACCGGUGUAGGGCAACCUACCGAGGGUUCGAAUCCCUCCCUCUCCGCCA
Molecule: transfer RNA, 89 nt
Filed under: Candidatus Tantalella remota
Lineage: Bacteria; Pseudomonadati; Candidatus Omnitrophota
Description: tRNA-Ser
Rfam family: tRNA
About the family: Transfer RNA (tRNA) molecules are approximately 80 nucleotides in length. Their secondary structure includes four short double-helical elements and three loops (D, anti-codon, and T loops).
Source: RNAcentral